This is a long non-coding RNA of Pungitius pungitius (ninespine stickleback), 2574 nucleotides long. RefSeq lists it as uncharacterized. NCBI's taxonomy places the organism in Eukaryota, Metazoa, Chordata, Actinopteri, Perciformes, Gasterosteidae. The transcript has 2 exons. The record is from RefSeq and is a predicted model, not a curated record.
GAGGGGGGGGGGUCAAAAAGGUGGCAGAGGGAGAUGUUUAUGCUCUCACUGUUUCAGGCGGGGAUGCCCUCCUGCUGGAAACAAACGUGUUUAUAGCGCCGCCGGUCCGAUUUGUCCACAGUGAGAGAGACGGGUGUAAAACUGCAGACCGGAAUGUAGAUCCCACACACGUGUCCUUGGACUGCCUUCAUCGUACACGCGUGUCCUCUGACUGCCUUCAUCGUACACGCGUGUCCUCUGACUGCCUUCAUCGUACACGCGUGUCCUCUGACUGCCUUCAUCGUACACGCGUGUCCUCUGACUGCCUUCAUCGUACACGCGUGUCCUCUGACUGCCUUCAUCGUACACGCGUGUCCUCUGACUGCCUUCAUCGUACACGCGUGUCCUCUGACUGCCUUCAUCGUACACGCGUGUCCUCUGACUGCCUUCAUCGUACACGCGUGUCCUCUGACUAGCUUCAUCGUACACGCGUGUCCUCUGACUGCCUUCAUCGUACAUGCACGUGCUACCAGUGGCCUGGAUGCGUCGAUGCAUCUCUAAUGUACUGUACUUAAACAACUAUGCAGUCAGUGCGUGAACCUACUUGAUACGCAGCGCUUUGAGCCUUUCAGCGGUCCGAUCGGAACUCGAGUUUUACAACCUGUGUGUGUGUGUGAGAGUGUCCGUCCGUCCGUCCGUGUGUGUGUCCGUCUUUAUGUCUCUCCUUGGCUUGCUGCUUGAGAGACGGAGGCUGCGGGGGAGACGAGGAGUGAGACGGUACAGAGCUGGUUCCCUAGUGGCGGCUCUCUGUACUGGCAUCUUGACUCACCUGAACCCGUGAACCCGGGUUACCUCGGAGGAGAUCGGGUUGCGGUCUGAGUGAUUCAGAGGGAUGAGGGCGGCCCGGUUGGUUAUGCAGACUGACCGGGUUUUGUUUUUCAGUCCACCCCCCCCACCCCUUUGGUUUCCUUCUCUAAUUGCCGGGCUGCUCCGUGGCAUCUUUUAAAAACACGUUACACACACCCCCCCCCCUCCCCCCCCUUCCCAACAGUAUUUGCCACCAUCGCCGUCAUCAUGUGUCCGUUGUCUGUGGUUUUUGAGGUGCGCUGAGGGGUGGGGGGGGCAGCUGUAAUGGCGCCUUUGUGUUUUUUUUUGGCCCGCUUUAAUGGUUGAGGGUCGUCGUGUCCAGAGACCGAGGCCCUUUACUCAAUUUUAUCUGCAACUGUUGCAUUGUGAAUGGGCUGAGGAUGGUGGGGGGGGGGGCUUCUUUCACUGUUUUGAUGUCCUUUGUAAUUUCCCAAUUGUGGUGUGAUGCAAUGAUUUCUAUCUUGUAUGUAUUAAGUGCUAUGAAAUAUGACCUGAGUGUUUAAAGAAAACGUAGGAUUGAUCAUGGAAGAGUAACUAAAUGAACCUACGAAACGCAAAUGUCAUCACCGCAGAAACCAAUUGAUCACGCAGUAAUAAUUCCAUGCCUUUUUAUCGAGGCCCAAAUGCUCAGAAAUGAAAUCUCAAUUGAGACCGAACCCCAGAACCGCCACCUGUCCUUUCUCAUUCUUUUUUUUUUUUUAAUUAUUAGGGUGAAUGGGAUUUAAUUUGUCAAACUAGUGUUACUUUUAUCGUCUCUCUUCCCCCAUUGUUCUCUGAGCUGAUCGGUGAUUGCGUCACUGACGGGACAAACCCAACAGUCGAUUACAAAAACCUACAAGAACCUCAGGAAAACAAGACGUCUACCAACCAACAAACAAAUCCUUUUCCAACUGAGUGAACUUCACCUCGAGGAGUUUCACUGAUUGGCUUCAAUGGACUGUUUACAAUCUACCUUUAAUAUGCACAUGUGGAUAUUUGACGAUCACUUGAUGUUUGUUUUUGUUUUUUUCUUGUUUGUAUUUUUCUUUUUUUCUUAUGGUUUGUAAAUCUAUUUAAAAUCUGAAAUAAAGAUCUUUAUUAGAUAUAGACUGUUUUUUUGUAGUUUUAUUUUUAUAUGGAUUAAAUGAUUUUGAGUUUUUUUUUUUUGUUGUCUCUGAACUUUUUCUGCUUUCUUUCAUAGAAACUGGCGUCAAGUGAGGGAAACUCGGGGCUGGCAUCGAGAGGUAAGACCUGCCUCCCUCUUUUUACUCUUUUAUUGAGGAAAGUACAUGAUGAGACGUGUACCCAGUAGUCACCCGGCUGGUUUCAGAGGGUGGUGUUGACUUCAAAGGAUUUCCUGAUGCUUUCCUUUUUUUUUUUUUCAUCCAUUACAAGUGACGUUUUAGGGAGUUGCUUUUCUAAACACAUGGUUUCUUCUCCCCCCCCCCCCCCCCCUCCCCCAUUUUCUGUCCUCUAGAAAAUAUAAGACUCUAAAGACCAGCGUCCCUUUUAAGCUUGGGCCGUGCUGCCGUGUGAUGCGUUACAUGCGACUCCACCACACGCGCAUCACAUCAGCAGCGAGGGCGCUGCGACGCGGACGAGUCACAACAGUGGAGAUACGCCUGUCUCCCUGUGAUCGGAUGGUCUAUCAACAUCUUUUUAUGUCACACUGACCUCUGGGUUAACGUUCAUGUGUCUCUACAUGCAUGAUGGCUCCUGUAAGAAAACUAUUUUCCUCAGCGAAACUUU